Molecule: unclassified non-coding RNA, 344 nt
Filed under: soil metagenome
Description: partial contains 5.8S ribosomal RNA, internal transcribed spacer 2, and large subunit ribosomal RNA
Rfam family: 5.8S ribosomal RNA (bases 1-120)
Source: RNAcentral
GAUGAAGAACGUAGCGAAAUGCGAUAAGUAAUGUGAAUUGCAGAAUUCAGUGAAUCAUCGAGUCUUUGAACGCACAUUGCGCCCCCUGGUAUUCCGGGGGGCAUGCCUGUCCGAGCGUCAUUGCUGCCCUCAAGCACGGCUUGUGUGUUGGGCUCCGCCCCCCUCCCGGGGGGCGGGCCCGAAAGGCAGCGGCGGCACCGCGUCCGGUCCUCGAGCGUAUGGGGCUUUGUCACCCGCUCUGUAGGCCCGGCCGGCGCCCGCCGGCGACCCCAAUCAAUCUUUCCAGGUUGACCUCGGAUCAGGUAGGGAUACCCGCUGAACUUAAGCAUAUCAAUAAGCGGAGG